UACGUAGGUGGCGAGCGUUGUCCGGAAUCACUGGGCGUAAAGGGCGCGUAGGCGGUUAAUUAAGUCAGGUGUGUAAACCGCAGGCUUAACCUGAGGACUGCACCUGAUACUGGAUAACUUGAGUGCAGGAGAGGGCAGUGGAAUUCCUAGUGUAGCGGUGAAAUGCGUAGAUAUUAGGAGGAACACCAGUGGCGAAGGCGGCUGCCUGGACUGCAACUGACGCUGAGGCGCGAAAGCGUGGGGAGCAAACAGGAUUAGA
This 259-nucleotide ribosomal RNA is filed under the name uncultured prokaryote. RNAcentral describes it as "partial 16S ribosomal RNA". It matches the Rfam family "Bacterial small subunit ribosomal RNA", at positions 524 to 782 of the family's 1533-position model. The record is from RNAcentral.